UUGAAAGGGAAACGAUUGAAGUCAGUCGUACCUGCGGGUAAUCAGCCUUUUGGGGAGAUUAUGUGGAGCGUGAGGAGUUAAUCACCCUCAUCUUUGCAUAUUCGUGCACUUUGGGUGUACUUGCUCGUGUGGUAGGUUAACAUCAAUUUUGAUCAUCAUAAAAUGAUUGGAGGAAUGUAGCUUCGAUCUCGUAUUGAAGUGUUAUAGCCUUUGGUAGAUGUGAUGAUCGGGAUUGAGGAUUGCAACGGAUACCCUUCGGGGCUACCCGUCUGAUCUCUGAAAGUUGCUCUGGUGCUGAAAGCUUGCUUAUGGUAUCAAAGUUGACGUUCAAUAGGUUAGAACGGGAUAAAUUCGUUAAGGAUGUUGACGUA
RNAcentral lists this ribosomal RNA (371 nucleotides) under uncultured Glomeromycotina. Its description in RNAcentral is "LSU rRNA". The record is from RNAcentral. Lineage: Eukaryota; Fungi; Glomeromycota.